Molecule: ribosomal RNA, 530 nt
Filed under: uncultured bacterium
Lineage: Bacteria
Description: partial 16S ribosomal RNA
Rfam family: Bacterial small subunit ribosomal RNA
Source: RNAcentral
GACGAACGCUGGCGACGUGCCUAAUACAUGCAAGUCGAACGAACUCUGGUAAUGAUUGGUGCUUGCAUCAUGAAUUACAUUUGAGUGAGUGGCGAACUGGUGAGUAACACGUGGGAAACCUGCCCAGAAGCGGGGGAUAACACCUGGAAACAGAUGCUAAUACCGCAUAACAACUUGGACCGCAUGGUCCGAGUUUGAAAGAUGGCUUCGGCUGUCACUUUUGGAUGGUCCCGCGGCGUAUUAGCUAGAUGGUGAGGUAACGGCUCACCAUGGCAAUGAUACGUAGCCGACCUGGGAGGGUAAUCGGCCACAUUGGGACUGAGACACGGCCCAAACUCCUACGGGAGGCAGCAGUAGGGAAUCUUCCACAAUGGACGAAAGUCUGAUGGAGCAACGCCGCGUGAGUGAAGAAGGGUUUCGGCUCGUAAAACUCUGUUGUUAAAGAAGAACAUAUCUGAGAGUAACUGUUCAGGUAUUGACGGUAUUUAACCAGAAAGCCACGGCUAACUACGUGCCAGCCGCCGCGGUAA